CUCGUAGCUUGCUAUGAGAACAAUUAGUGGCAGACGGGUGAGUAACGCAUAGGAAUCUACCUAGUAGUAUAGGAUAGCCACUAGAAGUGGUGGGUAAUACUGUAUAAUCCCUGCGGGGGAAAGAUUUAUCGCUACAUGAUGAGCCUAUGUUAGAUUAGCUAGUUGGUGGGGUAAUGGCCUACCAAGGCAGUGAUCUAUAGCUGGUCUGAGAGGAUGAUCAGCCACACUGGAACUGAGACACGGUCCAGACUCCUACGGGAGGCAGCAGUGGGGAAUAUUGGACAAUGGGCGCAAGCCUGAUCCAGCUAUGCCGCGUGAGUGAGGAAGGCCUUAGGGUUGUAAAACUCUUUCAGUGGGGAAGAUAAUGACGGUACCCACAGAAGAAGUCCCGGCAAACUCCGUGCCAGCAGCCGCGGUAAUACGGAGGGGGCAAGCGUUGUUCGGAAUUAUUGGGCGUAAAGGGCAUGUAGGUGGUUUGGUAAGUUAAAGGUGAAAUGCCAGGGCUUAACCCUGGAGCUGCUUUUAAUACUGCCAGACUGGAGUCCGGGAGA
Molecule: ribosomal RNA, 551 nt
Filed under: uncultured Anaplasma sp.
Lineage: Bacteria; Pseudomonadati; Pseudomonadota; Alphaproteobacteria; Rickettsiales; Anaplasmataceae
Description: bacterial SSU rRNA
Rfam family: Bacterial small subunit ribosomal RNA
Source: RNAcentral